UUUAUGGGGUGACUGCGUACCUUUUGUAUAAUGGGUCAGCGACUUAUAUUCUGUAGCAAGGUUAACCGAAUAGGGGAGCCGAAGGGAAACCGAGUCUUAACUGGGCGUUAAGUUGCAGGGUAUAGACCCGAAACCCGGUGAUCUAGCCAUGGGCAGGUUGAAGGUUGGGUAACACUAACUGGAGGACCGAACCGACUAAUGUUGAAAAAUUAGCGGAUGACUUGUGGCUGGGGGUGAAAGGCCAAUCAAACCGGGAGAUAGCUGGUUCUCCCCGAAAGCUAUUUAGGUAGCGCCUCGUGAAUUCAUCUCCGGGGGUAGAGCACUGUUUCGGCAAGGGGGUCAUCCCGACUUACCAACCCGAUGCAAACUGCGAAUACCGGAGAAUGUUAUCACGGGAGACACACGGCGGGUGCUAACGUCCGUCGUGAAGAGGGAAACAACCCAGACCGCCAGCUAAGGUCCCAAAGUCAUGGUUAAGUGGGAAACGAUGUGGGAAGGCCCAGACAGCCAGGAUGUUGGCUUAGAAGCAGCCAUCAUUUAAAGAAAGCGUAAUAGCUCACUGGUCGAGUCGGCCUGCGCGGAAGAUGUAACGGGGCUAAACCAUGCACCGAAGCUGCGGCAGCGACGCUUAUGCGUUGUUGGGUAGGGGAGCGUUCUGUAAGCCUG
This 666-nucleotide ribosomal RNA is filed under the name Escherichia coli. Its description in RNAcentral is "partial 23S ribosomal RNA". It matches the Rfam family "Bacterial large subunit ribosomal RNA", at positions 585 to 1251 of the family's 2925-position model. The record is from RNAcentral. Lineage: Bacteria; Pseudomonadati; Pseudomonadota; Gammaproteobacteria; Enterobacterales; Enterobacteriaceae.